This 427-nucleotide ribosomal RNA is filed under the name uncultured bacterium. RNAcentral's name for it is "bacterial SSU rRNA". It matches the Rfam family "Bacterial small subunit ribosomal RNA", at positions 8 to 429 of the family's 1533-position model. The record is from RNAcentral.
AGAGUUUGAUCCUGGCUCAGAACGAACGCUGGCGGCGUGGAUAAGACAUGCAAGUCGAACGCGACUUAUCUGGUUAGCAAUAACUAGGUAAGUUGAGUGGCGAAAGGGUGCGUAACACGUGGGAAUUUACCAAAAAGUGGGGAAUAGCUCGGCGAAAGCCGAAUUAAUACCGCAUGUGAUCGAAAGAUCAAAGCCGGGGACCGCAAGGCCUGGCGCUUUUUGAGAAGCCCGCGGCCCAUCAGCUAGUUGGCGGGGUAACGGCCCACCAAGGCUAUGACGGGUAGCUGGUCUGAGAGGACGACCAGCCACACUGGAACUGAGACACGGUCCAGACACCUACGGGUGGCAGCAGUCGAGAAUUUUUCACAAUGGACGAAAGUCUGAUGGAGCGACGCCGCGUGGAGGAUGAAGGUUCUUGGAUUGUAAA